RNAcentral lists this ribosomal RNA (253 nucleotides) under uncultured bacterium. Its description in RNAcentral is "partial 16S ribosomal RNA". It matches the Rfam family "Bacterial small subunit ribosomal RNA", at positions 524 to 776 of the family's 1533-position model. The record is from RNAcentral.
UACGAGGGGAGCAAGCGUUGUUCGGAUUUACUGGGCGUAAAGGGUGCGUAGGCGGCACCACAAGUCACUUGUGAAAUCUCUGGGCUUAACCCAAAGCGGCCAAGUGAUACUGUGGAGCUAGAGUGCAGAAGGGGCAACUGGAAUUCUCGGUGUAGCGGUGAAAUGCGUAGAUAUCGAGAGGAACACCUGCGGCGAAGGCGGGUUGCUGGGCUGACACUGACGCUGAGGCACGAAAGCUAGGGUAGCAAACGGG